Molecule: ribosomal RNA, 497 nt
Filed under: uncultured bacterium
Lineage: Bacteria
Description: partial 16S ribosomal RNA
Rfam family: Bacterial small subunit ribosomal RNA
Source: RNAcentral
GAUGAACGCUGGCGGCGUGCCUAAUACAUGCAAGUCGAGCGAACAGAUGAGGAGCUUGCUCCUCUGACGUUAGCGGCGGACGGGUGAGUAACACGUGGAUAACCUACCCAUAAGACUGGGAUAACUUCGGGAAACCGGAGCUAAUACCGGAUAAUAUAUUGAACCGCAUGGUUCAAUAGUGAAAGACGGUUUUGCUGUCACUUAUAGAUGGAUCCGCGCCGCAUUAGCUAGUUGGUAAGGUAACGGCUUACCAAGGCAACGAUGCGUAGCCGACCUGAGAGGGUGAUAGGCCACACUGGAACUGAGACACGGUCAAGACUCCUACGGGAGGCAGCAGUAGGGAAUCUUCCGCAAUGGGCGAAAGCCUGACGGAGCAACGCAGCGUGAGUGAUGAAGGUCUUCGGAUCGUAAAACUCUGUUAUUAGGGAAGAACAAAUGUGUAAGUAACUAUGCACGUCUUGACGGUACCUAAUCAGAAAGCCACGGCUAACUACGUG